UACCACGUCACGGUUGUACGCCUCCACCAACCAGUCAAGUUGCAGUUUACAUCCACGUCUGUCCAAAAUGUCAUCACUUCAUCAUUUUAUCCUGUUAGACAUUUCUGUGAAAUGGUCAUAAUUAACAUAUGAAUUCUGAAGUUAUGGCCAAAAACAUGUUUUCUGAGGU
Molecule: long non-coding RNA, 169 nt
Organism: Sebastes umbrosus (honeycomb rockfish)
Lineage: Eukaryota; Metazoa; Chordata; Actinopteri; Perciformes; Sebastidae
Exons: 3
Source: RefSeq, a predicted model, not a curated record